UUUAGAGUUUGAUCCUGCUCAGAACGAACGCUGGCGGCGUGCCUAACACAUGCAAGUCGAGCGAGAAAGUCCCCGCAAGGGGAUGAGUACAGCGGCGAACGGGUGAGUAACACGUGGGCAACCUGCCCCUCCGUCAGGAAUAACCCCGCGAAAGCGGGGCUAAUACCAGAUCAUGUCCCUCGGGGACAUCCCUGGGGGACCAAAGGGGGCGAGCGAAAGCAGCUCCCGCUGAGGGAUGGGCCUGCGGCUGAUUAGCUAGUUGGUGGGGUAACGGCCUACCAAGGCGACGAUCAGUAGCCGACCUGAGAGGGUGACCGGCCACACUGGGACUGAGACACGGCCCAGACUCCUACGGGAGGCAGCAGUGGGGAAUAUUGCGCAAUGGGCGAAAGCCUGACGCAGCGACGCCGCGUGGGGACGAAGGCCUUCGGGUUGUAAAGCCCUGUCGGGUGGAACGAAUGGCCUGGCGGCAAAUACCCGCUAGGUUAGACGGACCACCGAAGGAAGCCCCGCA
This 514-nucleotide ribosomal RNA is filed under the name uncultured bacterium. RNAcentral's name for it is "bacterial SSU rRNA". It matches the Rfam family "Bacterial small subunit ribosomal RNA", at positions 1 to 497 of the family's 1533-position model. The record is from RNAcentral.